UGAGCACAAGGCUCCAUCUUAUGAGUACAAGUCACCCCCACCUCCACCACCUUACAUUUACAAGUCUCCACCACCUCCACCCUAUGACCACAAGUCACCAUCUUAUAAGUAUAAGUCUCCCCCGCCUCCUACACCAUCACCCCCACCACCCUAUGUGUACAAGUCACCACCUCCUCCAUCACCAUCACCUCCACCACCUUACAUUUACAAGUCUCCACCACCUCCACCCUAUGAGCACAAGUCACCAUCUUAUGAGUACAAGUCUCCCCCGCCUCCUACACCAUCACCCCCACCACCCUAUGUGUACAAGUCACCACCUCCUCCAUCACCAUCACCUCCACCACCUUACAUUUACAAGUCUCCACCACCUCCACCCUAUGACCACAAGUCUCCAUCUUAUGAGUACAAGUCUCCCCCGCCUCCUUCACCAUCACCCCCACCACCCUAUGUGUACAAGUCACCACCUCCUCCAUCACCAUCACCUCCACCACCUUACAUUUACAAGUCUCCACCACCUCCACCCUAUGACCACAAGUCUCCAUCUUAUGAGUACAAGUCUCCCCCUCCUCCUUCACCAUCACCCCCACCACCAUAUGUGUACAAGUCACCACCUCCUCCAUCACCAUCACCUCCACCACCUUACAUAUACAAGUCUCCACCACCUCCACCCUAUGAGCGCAAAUCUCCAUCUUAUGAGUACAAGUCUCCCCCACCACCAUACGUGUACAAGUCACCACCUCCUCCAUCACCCCCACCUCCAUACAUAUACAAGUCACCGCCUCAACCACCUUAUGAACACAAGUCUCCACCAUACUAUUACAAGAGCCCUCCACCAC
Molecule: long non-coding RNA, 836 nt
Filed under: Cicer arietinum (chickpea)
Lineage: Eukaryota; Viridiplantae; Streptophyta; Magnoliopsida; Fabales; Fabaceae
Description: long non-coding RNA (CARI_LNC001280)
Source: RNAcentral